This 1096-nucleotide long non-coding RNA is filed under the name Homo sapiens (human). Its description in RNAcentral is "non-protein coding lnc-LMTK3-4:8". Lineage: Eukaryota; Metazoa; Chordata; Mammalia; Primates; Hominidae. The record is from RNAcentral.
AAACAGGCUCAGCCCAAACAAUGGCCUGGAACGCCCGGCUUUCGGGCCCCGCCGGAAGCCCGUCCAGCGCCCAACAAAAGCGGCGCGACAAGUCUACGACUGAGCCGAACGCUUCUGGGCGCCGCGCGCCAGGGGGAAACGUUCGCGGCGGAACGUUCAGGAGAAAACGCUCCAGCAACUCCCAGCCGACCCCGCCCCUCCCCGACCUACCAUAGACGCCGUCCUCCAUGGCGGCUAGGAAGGCCCGCGGGGAAUCCGGGGCGGUCCCGCCAGUCGGGCCUGGAUCCGCGUUGGCCCGCGGGCUCGGGUGAGCCCGCUCAAACGCCCCGGGAGCCACCGCCGCCUCCUCAGCGCCAGUCCUCAGCGCUGAAAAGACUCUUCCCUUCGUCGCCCAACCGCCCCUUCAGUAGGGACCGCCCCUCUUUUUGACACUGUCCAAUCCACAGUGGGCGCUUUCGUCCUCCCCGCCCUCGCCACCAAAGGAUCGUUCUCCAGGGCCAACAGUCGUACAAAAAGCCGGUGUAGGUAUGUCCGGCCAGAGGUAGACGGCCCGCGGGGCCAAUCGGAGUGCAGGCAGGGCAGCAGGCCCCGCCUCCGAAACAACAGAAAGCACUUGACAGGCUUGCUCUCCAAUGAGAAGCCCCGGAAAAGUGUCGCGCGGAGGCGGAGCCACGCGGUACAGCCACCUCUGCGCCUGCUCAAAGGCCCUGGACACUUGGAGUCUAGAUGGGGAAACUGACAUGAAGAGGAGUCCAAAGUGACACAGUCAGGCCAGAAAUGUUGCUUCUGAAGUCCUGAGUCCACCUCCUAGCACUGCCAAGCAGUCCACCUGGAGGUGAUGAGAACUUCCAGGCUUUGGUAAUGGACAACUCUGUAUCCCUGGAGCCUUCAUUCCUUUUGGCAUUACAGAACCACAAGAAGUCAUCUAGAAUCAUUGAGAUUCUCAACUCCAUUGGGCAAACUGGAACCAGCAAAAUCUCAGAUAUCUAGAAUUGCCACUGCUUCCUUGACUCUGUGAUCAGUCUACAGCCACAGAAUCCUGAUUCCCUUUGGACAUUCUAGAAUGGCACUUUAAAAAAAAACAACCCACCCAGUG